RNAcentral lists this non-coding RNA (96 nucleotides) under human gut metagenome. RNAcentral describes it as "Pyrrolysine insertion sequence mttB". It matches the Rfam family "Pyrrolysine insertion sequence mttB". The record is from RNAcentral.
UAGUCCGAUGCGAAGGUCCCGAGCUCCCAGUCGGGCCACGAGAAGACGAUCACCGGACUGCUCCCCGAGAUGGUCGGAGCCACCUCCAUCUACGGA